CCUACGGGCGGCAGCAGUGGGGGAUAUUGCACACUGGGGGGAACCCUGAUGCAGCAACGCCGCGUGGGUGAAGAAGUACUUCGGUAUGUAAAGCCCUGUCAGCAGGGAAGAAAAUGACGGUACCUGACCAAGAAGCCCCGGCUAACUACGUGCCAGCAGCAGCGGUAAUACGUAGGGGGCAAGCGUUAUCCGGAUUUACUGGGUGUAAAGGGAUCGUAGACGGCAAGGCGAGUCUGGAGUGAAAGCCCGUGGCUCACCCACGGGACUGCUUUGGAAACUGUGUUGCUGGAGUGCAGGAGGGGUAAGCGGAAUUCCUAGUGUAGCGGUGAAAUGCGUAGAUAUUAGGAGGAACACCGGUGGCGAAGGCGGCUUACUGGACUGUAACUGACGUUGAGGCUCGAAGGCGUGGGGAGCAAACAGGAUUAGAUACCCUGGUAGUC
RNAcentral lists this ribosomal RNA (440 nucleotides) under uncultured bacterium. RNAcentral describes it as "partial 16S ribosomal RNA". It matches the Rfam family "Bacterial small subunit ribosomal RNA", at positions 338 to 795 of the family's 1533-position model. The record is from RNAcentral.